RNAcentral lists this small RNA (69 nucleotides) under Bifidobacterium pseudocatenulatum. RNAcentral's name for it is "Transposase-2 RNA". It matches the Rfam family "Transposase-2 RNA". Lineage: Bacteria; Bacillati; Actinomycetota; Actinomycetes; Bifidobacteriales; Bifidobacteriaceae. The record is from RNAcentral.
GAAGUGUGAACCAAGUUGCUGCGCGAGCGACGUGAGGCUUGGAGUUGGCGUCCGCAAGAACGCCAUGCA